UUGAACGCUGGCGGAAUGCUUUACACAUGCAAGUCGAGCGGCAGCGCGGGGGCAACCCUGGCGGCGAGCGGCGAACGGGUGAGUAAUACAUCGGAACGUACCCAGUUGUGGGGGAUAGCCCGGCGAAAGCCGGAUUAAUACCGCAUAAGUCCUGAGGGAGAAAGCGGGGGAUCGCAAGACCUCGCGCGAUUGGAGUGGCCGAUGUCAGAUUAGCUAGUUGGUGGGGUAAAGGCCUACCAAGGCGACGAUCUGUAGCGGGUCUGAGAGGAUGAUCCGCCACACUGGGACUGAGACACGGCCCAGACUCCUACGGGAGGCAGCAGUGGGGAAUUUUGGACAAUGGGCGAAAGCCUGAUCCAGCCAUGCCGCGUGCGGGAAGAAGGCCUUCGGGUUGUAAACCGCUUUCAGCCGGAAAGAAAUCGCCACUUCUAAUACGAGUGGUGGAUGACGGUACCGGAAGAAGAAGCACCGGCUAACUACGU
This 482-nucleotide ribosomal RNA is filed under the name uncultured bacterium. RNAcentral's name for it is "bacterial SSU rRNA". It matches the Rfam family "Bacterial small subunit ribosomal RNA", at positions 29 to 506 of the family's 1533-position model. The record is from RNAcentral.